ACGAACGCUGGCGGCAUGCCUAACACAUGCAAGUCGUACGAAGGCUUCGGCCUUAGUGGCGCACGGGUGAGUAACACGUGGGAACCUGCCUUUCGGUUCGGGAUAACGUCUGGAAACGGACGCUAACACCGGAUACGCCCUUCGGGGGAAAGUUUACGCCGAGAGAGGGGCCCGCGUCCGAUUAGGUAGUUGGUGGGGUAACGGCCUACCAAGCCGACGAUCGGUAGCUGGUCUGAGAGGAUGAUCAGCCACACUGGGACUGAGACACGGCCCAGACUCCUACGGGAGGCAGCAGUGGGGAAUAUUGGACAAUGGGGGCAACCCUGAUCCAGCAAUGCCGCGUGAGUGAUGAAGGCCUUCGGGUUGUAAAGCUCUUUCGCACGCGACGAUGAUGACGGUAGCGUGAGAAGAAGCCCCGGCUAACUUCGU
Molecule: ribosomal RNA, 429 nt
Filed under: uncultured bacterium
Lineage: Bacteria
Description: bacterial SSU rRNA
Rfam family: Bacterial small subunit ribosomal RNA
Source: RNAcentral